Molecule: transfer RNA, 76 nt
Filed under: Bacteroidota bacterium
Lineage: Bacteria; Pseudomonadati; Bacteroidota
Also listed under: 3 other names
Description: Bacteroidetes bacterium tRNA-Phe
Rfam family: tRNA
About the family: Transfer RNA (tRNA) molecules are approximately 80 nucleotides in length. Their secondary structure includes four short double-helical elements and three loops (D, anti-codon, and T loops).
Source: RNAcentral
GGGACUGUAGCUCAGUUGGUAGAGCAACGGACUGAAAAUCCGUGUGUCGGCGGUUCAAUUCCGCCCGGUCCCACCA